ACAUACGACCAUAGAUUGAGGAGAAUUGGGCAUCCCGUCCGCUCUGCCAUACACAAGCCUACAAAUCGGCAGUCUAGUAGUUGGGUGGGUGACCACCAGCGAAUCCCUGCUGUUGUAUGUU
RNAcentral lists this ribosomal RNA (121 nucleotides) under Blumeria hordei DH14. Lineage: Eukaryota; Fungi; Ascomycota; Leotiomycetes; Helotiales; Erysiphaceae. The record is from RNAcentral.